GAUGAACGCUGGCGGCGUGCCUAAUACAUGCAAGUCGAGCGAACGGGCGAGAAGCUUGCUUCUCUGAUGUUAGCGGCGGACGGGUGAGUAACACGUGGAUAACCUACCUAUAAGACUGGGAUAACUUCGGGAAACCGGAGCUAAUACCGGAUAAUAUUUUGAACCGCAUGGUUCAAAAGUGAAAGACGGUCUUGCUGUCACUUAUAGAUGGAUCUGCGCUGCAUUAGCUAGUUGGUAAGGUAACGGCUUACCAAGGCAACGAUGCAUAGCCGACCUGAGAGGGUGAUCGGCCACACUGGAACUGAGACACGGUCCAGACUCCUACGGGAGGCAGCAGUAGGGAAUCUUCCGCAAUGGGCGAAAGCCUGACGGAGCAACGCCGCGUGAGUGAUGAAGGUCUUCGGAUCGUAAAACUCUGUUAUUAGGGAAGAACAUAUGUGUAAGUAACUGUGCACAUCUUGACGGUACCUAAUCAGAAAGCCACGGCUAACUACGUG
This 497-nucleotide ribosomal RNA is filed under the name uncultured bacterium. Its description in RNAcentral is "partial 16S ribosomal RNA". It matches the Rfam family "Bacterial small subunit ribosomal RNA", at positions 28 to 507 of the family's 1533-position model. The record is from RNAcentral.